GUCGUUAUAUCUUUUUAAUUAUCAGGAAUUUCACGAAUAAAAACAAAACAGGUAUAGCUCAUUUUUCAUAAGGAAGAAUAAUAUGCAGAGUAUCGCAGCAAAAUGCGAACCGAUUAUAUGUAUGAAGACACAUAACCGUGAGUGUAUUGCUUGAUUUCAAAAGAAAACUAAGUAUCUCAAACAUCAAGACUCUAAUAUCAUAAAGGCGAUAUGGAAAUUUAAAAUACAUCGAUUGAAACUUUCCCCACCAGCACCAGACCAAUCUUGCUCCUCGCUUAGCCUGCACAUUUAGAAAUAUAUGCAGGGCGUGAGUACAUAAUACUCAGUGGGCAAACGCCGAAAAACAAGAAAGGUGCUCUUAGAGCUAUAGAUUUGAAACUUGCCACAUCUCAGCAAUACACAGGAAUAAGUUUAGCGUAAAUGAACCUGUGUAAGCAGUUUUAAUAAACAUCAUAAAGAAAUAAAUGAAUGACAGCUGUCAAAGAUCUCAACAUGCAUGCACCACAUCUACAACUCAUCAUCAUCAAAGGUACUGAGAAGUAGGCCUCCCUCUCAAGUACCGUGACCGGCCGACCCGAAGACGGCUCACAGUCACCUCUGUGCACAAAAUCCCGCUUGUGGCAGGACCGAAUUCGUCUCAUCGGUAGAGGGUCACAUACAAGUUCAUCAUCAAAAAUUGGCAAGUCCAACAAUUCUCAAACAUCAUUUAUCUCAAAUCAUUUGAUAAGUUCAUAACAUCAUUAAAUCAUUUUAGAAAGCUCGUAUAAUAUACUUAUACUCAAAGUAUUGCCCACCUGAAGUCCUUCGCUAAUCCUGGAGAGAAAUCAGGCAACUUACUUCUUCGUCUCGCUCGGGCCUUCAUAUAUCAUCAUCACAUCGUCAUUGUCAUCGAAGGUUCAUGUGAUAAAACAAACCUUAGUCAGAAACUCAAUCAAUCUCAUCUUAAACUAUAACUUCUCACUCAACGUCUAUUUACCCAAUAAACUCAAUCCCUAGGUACACUCAACUUCUAAGGAUUCACACGUCCUACUCUCGACUUAACUCUCAACUCGGCUCAACCUCAUAGCAUUUAAGCACAUAAACAAGCAUAAACACUUAAGCAUAUGAAAAACACACAUAGACAAGUCAAAAAUAAACUUCACUCUGCACUGACUCAACUUCAAAAUCUCACCAGACUCGGUACAGACCUCUUAUGGAGUCGUAACCUAUACCAAAACAAACCUCUUUGAGUAUAGUGUCAUUUAAAAAAAAGUAGGGUCAAAAACUCCAAGUAUUUUAGGAGAUAUGACUGUUUUACUACAGUCUACCAUAUUCGGCAGUUUUUGGCAUUCGAAAAGUUGGAUUUUUGAAAAAUAGUAAACGUGGUCAAAAAGGUCUGAAAUUUUGUGGGUACAUACCUAAGACACUUAUGUCUUAACAAUAAAAAUUUGGGUUCCAGAAUGUUAAGGAAAGAUACUGUAAUAGAUGACUCCAUUGGCUACUCACCGAACAAUUCGGCAGAACGUAGCAGUUUUGGUUUUUUAUUUAUAAAACUAGUAAACGAAGUCCAAAUGACUUGAAAUUUUACCUUUAUGCUCAAGACUCUCAAAUAUACUUAUCAUAAAAUUUUCAUGGUGUUUGGAUAACAAAAACAUCUCGAAAACAGUAGGUCAGUGCAUCACUAAAAAUGACUCCGAACUCCAUCACACAAGCAAACAUGUUCAACUCAACAUUUCUUCAAGCAAACUCAUCAAAGCUCAUUUUAAACACUUAUAGCAUUCAAAAACAUUCAAGUACAACAUAAUACUCAUCAUACUCAAUCUCGANAAACAUUCAAGUACAACAUAAUACUCAUCAUACUCAAUCUCGACUCUUCUCUUACAUCUUUAGACUCAAAUCUCAAGGAGAACGUUUCAACGAACGCAUCAUUAAAAUUCUCUUCUCAUUUUCAUGCUCAAAAAUUUCUCAAACACUCAAACAUGAUCUCAUUCAUCAUAUAACUCAUCAUACACAUAUAGAUUCCCUUUUUAUCAUGUAAACUAAACUCUAAUGAAAGCUCAUGUAUCCACAUAAAACUCUUAAUAAAACAUGACAAACGUUCACAUAAUGGUCAUAAAGCAAUUAGACCUCAUUUUACCAAGCAUCAACCUCACAUCAUAUGAGAACUCAAAAACUCAUAUAAACUAAACUAAGUCAAAAUUUUACUUAGCCUACAAUAGACCUAAUCAAACAUAUUUAGACACCAAUUUCAUGCUCAAUUUCUUAUAUCUUAAGCCAAUUCACUUAAUAAACAUAUAGACAAAAAGUCCUAAUUUUUAUUAAACUAAACUCUUUGAAAUUUUAUAAACACUCAUGAAUCUUUAAUCCAUUCAUAGAUCCAUCAAUCUUAACCAAUUAAUCUCAUAUAUAAACCAUCAAUUUACAAAUUAGAGCAUAGAUACACAUAUCCCUAAUUUUAUUAAACUAACUCAUAUCAAAAUCAUCAAUUGACAUCAUAUACUCAAUUUACUCCAUCAAUCAUCAUCGUAUACAUCUCAUGGACUCAUCUUCAUCAUCAAUUCAUCAUUUUAAUCAUCAACUCAAAAGUUCCCAAUUUUGGGUAAACUAAACUCCAUCGAACUUUCACAUCUCAAUGAAUCACAUAGACAUAUACAUCACAACACACAUCAAUCAUCAACAAACAUCACAUAGAUAUCAUUUUUUUCACCCCAAAACAAGGAAAGAAAAAGAAAUUUUUUUGAAGGGUUGAAGACCCAAAUUUUCGAAAAUUUUAGAAAAAGGAAGGGGUGAUUUUCUUGCUUCAAUCUUUCAAGAAUACUCACAUACAACAUCAUU
Molecule: long non-coding RNA, 2814 nt
Filed under: Salvia miltiorrhiza (redroot sage)
Lineage: Eukaryota; Viridiplantae; Streptophyta; Magnoliopsida; Lamiales; Lamiaceae
Description: long non-coding RNA (SMIL_LNC000796)
Source: RNAcentral